This 253-nucleotide ribosomal RNA is filed under the name uncultured bacterium. RNAcentral's name for it is "partial 16S ribosomal RNA". It matches the Rfam family "Bacterial small subunit ribosomal RNA", at positions 524 to 776 of the family's 1533-position model. The record is from RNAcentral.
GACAGAGGGUGCAACCGUUGUUCGGAAUUACUGGGCGUAAAGCGCGUGUAGGCAGUUUCGCCAGUCGGGUGUGAAAGCCCUGGGCCCAACCUAGGAAGUGCACUCGAAACUGCGAGACUUGAGUCCUGGAGAGGAAGGCGGAAUUCUCGGUGUAGAGGUGAAAUUCGUAGAUAUCGAGAGGAACACCGGUGGCGAAGGCGGCACUCUGGGCCGGUACUGACGCUGAGGAGCGAAAGCCAGGGGAGCAAACGGG